Molecule: ribosomal RNA, 987 nt
Filed under: Bacillus amyloliquefaciens
Lineage: Bacteria; Bacillati; Bacillota; Bacilli; Caryophanales; Bacillaceae
Description: bacterial SSU rRNA
Rfam family: Bacterial small subunit ribosomal RNA
Source: RNAcentral
UAGCUAGUUGGUGAGGUAACGGCUCACCAAGGCGACGAUGCGUAGCCGACCUGAGAGGGUGAUCGGCCACACUGGGACUGAGACACGGCCCAGACUCCUACGGGAGGCAGCAGUAGGGAAUCUUCCGCAAUGGACGAAAGUCUGACGGAGCAACGCCGCGUGAGUGAUGAAGGUUUUCGGAUCGUAAAGCUCUGUUGUUAGGGAAGAACAAGUGCCGUUCAAAUAGGGCGGCACCUUGACGGUACCUAACCAGAAAGCCACGGCUAACUACGUGCCAGCAGCCGCGGUAAUACGUAGGUGGCAAGCGUUGUCCGGAAUUAUUGGGCGUAAAGGGCUCGCAGGCGGUUUCUUAAGUCUGAUGUGAAAGCCCCCGGCUCAACCGGGGAGGGUCAUUGGAAACUGGGGAACUUGAGUGCAGAAGAGGAGAGUGGAAUUCCACGUGUAGCGGUGAAAUGCGUAGAGAUGUGGAGGAACACCAGUGGCGAAGGCGACUCUCUGGUCUGUAACUGACGCUGAGGAGCGAAAGCGUGGGGAGCGAACAGGAUUAGAUACCCUGGUAGUCCACGCCGUAAACGAUGAGUGCUAAGUGUUAAGGGGGUUUCCGCCCCUUAGUGCUGCAGCUAACGCAUUAAGCACUCCGCCUGGGGGAGUACGGUCGCAAGACUGAAACUCAAAGGAAUUGACGGGGGCCCGCACAAGCGGUGGAGCAUGUGGUUUAAUUCGAAGCAACGCGAAGAACCUUACCAGGUCUUGACAUCCUCUGACAAUCCUAGAGAUAGGACGUCCCCUUCGGGGGCAGAGUGACAGGUGGUGCAUGGUUGUCGUCAGCUCGUGUCGUGAAAUGUUGGGUUAAGUCCCGCAACGAGCGCAACCCUUGAUCUUAGUUGCCAGCAUUCAGUUGGGCACUCUAAGGUGACUGCCGGUGACAAACCGGAGGAAAGGUGGGGAUGACGUCAAUCAUCAUGCCCCUUAUGACCUGGGCUACAC